This 240-nucleotide unclassified non-coding RNA is filed under the name soil metagenome. Its description in RNAcentral is "partial contains 5.8S ribosomal RNA, internal transcribed spacer 2, and large subunit ribosomal RNA". The record is from RNAcentral.
AACAUCGCGCACCUGCGGGAACCUGCGGAAGGAUCAUUACAGAGUUACUACUCCAAACCCAUUGUGAACCUUACCUAUGUUCUGUUGCCUCGGCGGCGUGGUCAGCGCCCCUCUGAAAAGAGGACGAUGCCCUCCCGCCGGCAGCACCAAACUCUUGAAUUUUACAGCGGAUUACAGUUCUGAUUUGAAAACAAAAAACAAGUUAAAACUUUUAACAACGGAUCUCAGAUCGGAAGAGCA